UACAGAGGUCUCAAGCGUUGUUCGGAUUCAUUGGGCGUAAAGCGCGUGUAGGCGGUCCGGUAAGUCCGCUGUGAAAGUCGGGGGGCUCAACCCUCGGAUGCCGGUGGAUACUGUCGGGCUUGAGUACGGAAGAGGCGAGUGGAAUUCCUGGUGUAGCGGUGAAAUGCGCAGAUAUCAGGAGGAACACCAAUUGCGAAGGCAGCUCGCUGGGACGUUACUGACGCUGAGACGCGAAAGCGUGGGGAGCAAACAGG
This 254-nucleotide ribosomal RNA is filed under the name uncultured bacterium. RNAcentral's name for it is "partial 16S ribosomal RNA". It matches the Rfam family "Bacterial small subunit ribosomal RNA", at positions 524 to 776 of the family's 1533-position model. The record is from RNAcentral.